GGGGAGGCAGGGAGGGGGAGGAGGAGCGGGCGGCGGUGGCGGUGCCUCGGGCUGGGUGGGGGGCGCCGUCCGUUCAGGUGCUGCUGGUGCUGGGGCCGCCGCGUAUCCCGGACCCGGCCGGGUCUGCGCUUCCGAGUCGCCGCCGCCGGACCCCGGGGUGGGGUGGGGAGGAAGCCGGAGACGCCGCGCGCCACACGCGAAAGAAAAGCACCAGAAGUAAAGAAACUUUUACAGCUUUUGUUGAUUUGGCUGUUAACGCUGAUCCCCCGAAUCAAAAAAAGGUAAUCAAACUUGAAAGUUUGCAUUUUAAUUUGUAGCUUCAUUUUAAAUGAUGAGAGGAGAAAAUUGUGCAGUGUUUACCCUCCACUUGGUUGAAAAACAAAGGUUCUAAAAAGGCUAUAUUUAUAUAAUGAGUGGGUUUCUCUGUUUAAAAUCUUGUUGAGGGGGAAAAACUAACUCAGGUGUUAAGUAGUAAACUGAUGAGAACGUCAUUAAAGGUUAGCCUAAGGAAGAUAGAAGGAAAGUUGUGGGACAACUGGUCAUAGUCAGCUAUGAAAGAAAACAAUGAGGAAGGGUUCUGUGUACUGACCUGGGAAGAGCUCCAAAAUAUGUUAUGAAGUGAAAAAAAGAUGUAGGGCUGUGUGAAUAAUGUGCUGCUUUGUGUGUUAAGGGGACAGGCGAGGAAUAAGAAUACAAGCUUGCGUUUGCUUUUCUAAGUAUAAAGCGACUCUGGAAAGGGAGAAACUGCAGAACUGGUAAUGGUGGGCGAGAGGGGGAAGGAGCCUGAUGAGGGGAUGGUGGGAAAUGACGUUGUGUAUGUCUUAUUUUUAAAGUAUUUGGACUGUAUUAUGGAUUCAUAAACUAAACAGAAGUCCUUCUUUCCAAAAUAACUUGUUAUGUGUUUUUGUUUGUUGCUUAUUUCUCUUUCCUAAUUUAUGGUGAUUUUGGACAUUUUCAACAUGAUUUCUCUUAAUAUUUUUAAGGAAAAUGAGCUGUAAAAUUCAAAGAAAGCUUAGGGUAAGUUUGGCUGUCUAUGCCUCGAUUUUUAAGGUGCUGGUGUCACAUUUAAUUUUUAAAGCUGUUUAGUCACAUUUUACUUUGCCGAAAUAUGACAUCAUUUACAUUUGGCAUUAUGGCUGGAUUAUAAAGAUUUCAGAGCAUGGUUUGCCUCCUUUUUUUUUUUUUUUUUUUUUCAGGAAUCAUACUUGCAUAAAAUUUGACUUUUAGUUUUUUUAACCCCAAAGUUGUCAUGACAAAUAGUUGGAGAGUAUGAGCACUCCAUUAAAAUGGUAAUAGAAUCGUUUGUCCAGGUAGUUUGCUUUGCAGAUUUGGGAAAUGCUUUUCUCAAGACAAUCAGAUAUGAACCUCAGUGACAUGUAACUUUAUAUGUAUAUUUAUUUUUAUAGUACUUUCGGGGAAUUAAAACUAGCAGUCAGUGCAGAACAUCAAAAUUUUUUUAUGGCUUAUUGAUUGCUCCACACAGUACAUGAUUUGGGGAAGGGUACUCAGAACCUCUUGGAUGCUAAUAUAAUGAAAGUAGUGAAUGUUGAGUAGUGGUUGACAGUUACUGUGGGCAUUUUCGUUAUGUUUCCAGUAUUCCUUUUUAUUUUGUACGAUAGGAUAAUUAUUUUUGUUUGACUUAGAGGUCUCUAGUCAAACUUAUGCAUAUUUUUUCAUUUGAAUUCCAUGUGGGUCUAUUCAGUCUUUUUGAAAAAAUAGAAUUGCAUUUCAAAAUUUUACUUAAAAUUUUGUUAUUGUUUUUCAAAUUAUAGAAGUAGAGUGGUGUUCAUGAGAAAUUAAAACAAUGCAGUGUAUAUGUACGUGAAGCAGCCUUUGCACGUGUCCACCUCUUCUCACAUCUCUGCAGAAAUGACUGCUGUUAACAGUGUUGUAUAACCUUCGAGUUCUUUUUCUGUGCAUUUACAAACAUGAAUUUUCAGUCUUGAGAACUGAAUUGUCUUGUUUUGUCCGCUUGUUUGCCUUCAAUGUGAGCUCUGUUAGUGUCACAGGUCAGGGAAAUGACCUGGAGUGUGUCAGAAAGUUUAACAUAUAGUAUGCGCCUUAGGACAGUCUCAUCUUUUCACUGGUGAGGGGCUGGUUAGUUUGGGGCACAGUUACGGUUUGUAGUGAGCUCUCACUGUUGUGAGCUUUAAUCUGAUGUGGAUUGAAUUUACCUUUAGACUUAGAGUCCGUGGCUUUUAUAGGACUCUUUAGGGUCCACAUUUCUAGGGUUUUGACCUGGUCAGUAGCUCACAGGUUAAACUGCUUUUGUUCUCCUGCAUGUGCGGGCCAAUAGAAAACUACUUAGGUUCCACCAGCCUGUCCUGGUCUCUGGAGUGAAACUACACAGGUCUGUCCUUAACUAGGAGACAUUGACUUGGAAUGCAGCCUUGGAAGGGGAGAGGGAGCAGAGGCAGUCAGGUCUGGUUUGUCCUAUAAUGACAGCAGACAAGUCGUAUGUACACCCCACCCACCCCUGGCCCCCUGCACAGAGAAGACUGCCUUUCUAACCAAGCUGCAAAUAAUUGCCAAGACUUAAUUCCUUUUAGGUGAUAGAAAGUUGAGUAUUAGUCAAGACUACUAAACUAGGUGAGCUAUAUAGAAAGAUGCAGUACAGUUGACCCUGCCCUGAGCAUAUUUGAAGUCUAGUGUCUUUAACAUUAUGGUUGCCAAAGGGGAGGGAGUGGGACAGAUGGGAGUCUGGGGUUAGUAGAUGCAAACUAUUGCAUUUGGAGUGAAUAAGUGACAAGAUUCUGCUGUAUAGCACAGGGAACUAUAUCUAGUCACUUGUGAUGGAACAUGAUGGAGGAUAAUGUGAGAAAAAGAAUGUAUAUAUCUAUAGUAUAACUGAGUUACUUUGUUGUUCAGCAGAAAUUGACAGAACAUUGUAAAUCAACUAUAAUAAAAAAUUAAAAAAAAGUAUUUGUGGAAGUUGCCAUUGUGGCUCAGUGGGUUAAGAAUCCAACUAGUAUCUAUAAUGAUGUGGGUUUGAUCCCUGGCUUCCAUCAGUGGGUUAAGAAUCUGGUUGCUGUGGCUGUGAUGUAGACUGGCAGCUGCAGCUCCGAUUUGACCUCACCUAGGAACUUCCGUAUGCUGCAGGUAUGGCUGUUAAAAAAAAAAAGAGCAUGUAUAUAAUGAUUAUAACACAAGAUAGGAAAUGAUAGAUUCUAGAAUAAAUACGUACAUAAGAUUGUAAGGGUGCGAAUGUUUCCGCUUUUUACUUUUGUAGACGUAGGAUUUGGAGGGAGAGUAGAUACCUUAACAUUUUUAAAAUACAACAGACUUGGAAAGCUCAAAUAUCAGCUCUGAAGGGGUGAGGAAGUAAGGAGUUGAGUUGCAUCCUCAUGGCAGUCAAUUAUGACAUUUAUUUAUAGUUGUUUAUUUUUGUUUUUACUCUGUCCCACUGGAAAGAACCAUUUGAUGUUUUAUUUGAUAAUUAUCAUACAGCCUCUCUAAGAUUUCAGGAUUUUAGAAAUAAGAAAUUUAAUUGUACCAGAUGAGUGUCGUCUAUCAUUUAAUGUGUCAGGCAGUGUUAGUAUUAAAAGUAAGUUGUUUUUUCCUAUCAUGUUUUUUUCCCCUCAAAGCACAUAUUUAAUGUGCCCUCUCCCACAUUUAUUUGUGGUGCUGUGUCAAAUAAAACAUUUAUAACCAAAUAAAUAUUUUAAACUAUGAAAGUGAACAACAAUAUGGUGAAAAAUCCAUCAAAGUUCCACAUUACAGCAAAACUACCUUUUAUUGUUUUGCAGAUGCAUAAAGUAAAAAAAAAAUUUGAGGUAUAGUUUCUCAUAUGCAUCAUACAAGUGGACAUUGCGUUUUCUCCUUUUCUGAGUCUAAAAUUCUAGAUGGGAGUUCCCGUCGUGGCGCAGUGGUUAACGAAUCUGAUUAGGAACCAUGAGGUUGCGGGUUCGGUCCCUGACCUUGCUCAGUGGGUUAACGAUCCGGCGUUGCUGUGAGCUAUGGUGUAGGCUGCAGACGCGGCUCGGAUCCCGCGUUUCUGUGGCUCUGGCGUAGGCCAGUGGCUACAGCUCCGAUUAGACCCCUAGCCUGGGAACCUCCAUAUGCGGGGGAGGGGGGGGCGGCCCAAAGAAAUAGCAAAAAGACAAAAAAAAAAAAAA
RNAcentral lists this long non-coding RNA (4115 nucleotides) under Sus scrofa (pig). Its description in RNAcentral is "lncRNA (ENSSSCG00035033477.1)". The record is from RNAcentral. Lineage: Eukaryota; Metazoa; Chordata; Mammalia; Artiodactyla; Suidae.